AGUCACUGACAUUAGAUACCCGGUAGUCCAGGGUGUAAACGCUGCAGACUUGGUGUUGGAAGUCCUUUGGGGGCAUUCAGUGCCGGAGAGAAGUUGUUAAGUCUGCUACUUGGGGAGUACGUCCGCAAGGAUGAAACUUAAAGGAAUUGGCGGGGGAGCACCGCAACGGGAGGAGCGUGCGGUUUAAUUGGAUUCAACGCCGAAAAACUCACCAGCAGCGACUGUUACAUGAAAGUCAGGUUGAUGACCUUACUAGAUUUUCAG
Molecule: ribosomal RNA, 264 nt
Filed under: uncultured archaeon
Lineage: Archaea
Description: partial 16S ribosomal RNA
Rfam family: Archaeal small subunit ribosomal RNA
Source: RNAcentral